RNAcentral lists this ribosomal RNA (561 nucleotides) under uncultured Chloroflexota bacterium. Its description in RNAcentral is "bacterial SSU rRNA". It matches the Rfam family "Bacterial small subunit ribosomal RNA", at positions 105 to 680 of the family's 1533-position model. The record is from RNAcentral. Lineage: Bacteria; Bacillati; Chloroflexota.
GGUGAGUAACGCGUUGGUGACCUGCCUCGAAGUGCGGAAUAACUCCGGGAAACUGGAGCUAAUACCUCAUGUGGUCACGGUUUUUAGAAAGCCGUGUCUAAAGGUCUUCGGAUCGCUUCGAGAGGGGCCUGCGUCCCAUCAGCUAGUUGGUAGGGUAAUGGCCUACCAAGGCGACGACGGGUAGGGGACCUGAGAGGGUGAUCCCCCACAAUGGAACUGAAACACGGUCCAUACACCUACGGGUGGCAGCAGUAGGGAAUAUUGCACAAUGGGCGAAAGCCUGAUGCAGCAACGCCGCGUGCGCGAUGAAGGCCUUCGGGUUGUAAAGCGCUUUUCUGAGGGAAGAGGAAGGACGGUACCUCAGGAAUAAGUCUCGGCUAACUACGUGCCAGCAGCCGCGGUAACACGUAGGAGGCAAGCGUUAUCCGGAUUUACUGGGCGUAAAGCGCGUGCAGGCGGUUUGGUAAGUUGGAUGUGAAAGCUCCUGGCUCAACUGGGAGAGGCCGUUCAAUACUGCCAGACUAGAGGACGGUAGAGGAAGGUAGAAUUCCUGGUGUAGUG